This 465-nucleotide ribosomal RNA is filed under the name uncultured bacterium. Its description in RNAcentral is "partial 16S ribosomal RNA". It matches the Rfam family "Bacterial small subunit ribosomal RNA", at positions 28 to 507 of the family's 1533-position model. The record is from RNAcentral.
GACGAACGCUGGCGGCGUGCUUAACACAUGCAAGUCGAACGGAAAGGCCCUGCUUGCAGGGUACUCGAGUGGCGAACGGGUGAGUAACACGUGGGUGAUCUGCCCUGCACUUCGGGAUAAGCCUGGGAAACUGGGUCUAAUACCGGAUAGGAGCCAUUUUUAGUGUGAUGGUUGGAAAGUUUUUUCGGUGUAGGAUGAGCUCGCGGCCUAUCAGCUUGUUGGUGGGGUAAUGGCCUACCAAGGCGGCGACGGGUAGCCGGCCUGAGAGGGUGGACGGCCACAGUGGGACUGAGAUACGGCCCAGACUCCUACGGGAGGCAGCAGUGGGGAAUAUUGCACAAUGGGCGCAAGCCUGAUGCAGCGACGCCGCGUGGGGGAUGACGGCCUUCGGGUUGUAAACUCCGUUCGCUAGGGACGAAGCUUUUUGUGACGGUACCUAGAUAAGAAGCACCGGCUAACUACGUG